RNAcentral lists this microRNA precursor (78 nucleotides) under Procavia capensis (Cape rock hyrax). Its description in RNAcentral is "miRNA (ENSPCAG00000020100.1)". The record is from RNAcentral. Lineage: Eukaryota; Metazoa; Chordata; Mammalia; Hyracoidea; Procaviidae.
UAGGGUGAGCAACUGUUCUAGUUUGCCUGGGACUGAGGAUCUUCUUGGGACCUGGGAUUUCCAGUGCUAGAACCAGGA